AAGAUAACACCAUGCCUCAGUCACUAUCCAGUACAAGUAGCAGAAAUGGUGUCAAAGACACAUCAACCCUUAGUCAUAGUGCUGUGAUUCCGCUCACAGAGGCUGAUAAACCUGGAACCUCCAAAGAAGGUGACAAUGCAAAUACCAGCAGACCAGUCAGUAAAC
Molecule: long non-coding RNA, 165 nt
Organism: Saccostrea cuccullata (small rock oyster)
Lineage: Eukaryota; Metazoa; Mollusca; Bivalvia; Ostreida; Ostreidae
Exons: 3
Source: RefSeq, a predicted model, not a curated record